GAUGAACGCUGGCGGCGUGCUUAACACAUGCAAGUCGAACGGGAUACUUACAGUGGAGACUUCGGUUGAAGCAGUAAAUUAUCUAGUGGCGGACGGGUGAGUAACGCGUGGGUAACCUGCCCAUUAGAGGAGGAUAACAGGGAGAAAUUCUUGCUAAUACUCCAUAUGCUUACGGUAUCGCAUGAUACAGUGAGGAAAGAAUUUUGCUAAUGGAUGGACCCGCGUUUGAUUAGCCAGUUGGUGGGGUAACGGCCUACCAAAGCUACGAUCAAUAGCCGGCCUGAGAGGGUGAUCGGCCACAUUGGGACUGAGACACGGCCCAAACUCC
RNAcentral lists this ribosomal RNA (328 nucleotides) under uncultured Lachnospiraceae bacterium. Its description in RNAcentral is "bacterial SSU rRNA". It matches the Rfam family "Bacterial small subunit ribosomal RNA", at positions 28 to 339 of the family's 1533-position model. Lineage: Bacteria; Bacillati; Bacillota; Clostridia; Lachnospirales; Lachnospiraceae. The record is from RNAcentral.